Molecule: transfer RNA, 76 nt
Filed under: Eubacteriales bacterium
Lineage: Bacteria; Bacillati; Bacillota; Clostridia; Eubacteriales
Description: tRNA-Thr
Rfam family: tRNA
About the family: Transfer RNA (tRNA) molecules are approximately 80 nucleotides in length. Their secondary structure includes four short double-helical elements and three loops (D, anti-codon, and T loops).
Source: RNAcentral
GCUGCUGUAGCUCAGUAGGUAGAGUGCAUCCUUGGUAAGGAUGAGGUCACCAGUUCGACUCUGGUCAGCAGCUCCA